CCUACGGGAGGCAGCAGUAAGGAAUAUUGGUCAAUGGAGGCAACUCUGAACCAGCCAUGCCGCGUGCAGGAAGACAGCCCUCUGGGUCGUAAACUGCUUUUAUUCGGGAAUAAACCUUAUUACGUGUAAUAAGCUGAAUGUACCGAAGGAAUAAGGAUCGGCUAACUCCGUGCCAGCAGCCGCGGUAAUACGGAGGAUCCAAGCGUUAUCCGGAUUUAUUGGGUUUAAAGGGUGCGUAGGCGGCUUAUUAAGUCAGGGGUGAAAGACGGUGGCUCAACCAUCGCAGUGCCUUUGAUACUGAUGAGCUUGAAUGAACUAGAGGUAGGCGGAAUGUGACAAGUAGCGGUGAAAUGCAUAGAUAUGUCACAGAACACCGAUUGCGAAGGCAGCUUACUAUGGUUUUAUUGACGCUGAGGCACGAAAGCGUGGGGAUCAAACAGGAUUAGAUACCCUGGUAGUCCACGCCCUAAACGAUGAAUACUCGCUGUUAGCGAUAUACAGUUAGCGGCUAAGCGAAAGCGUUAAGUAUUCCACCUGGGGAGUACGCCCGCAAGGGUGAAACGUCAAAUGAAUUGACGG
Molecule: ribosomal RNA, 579 nt
Filed under: uncultured bacterium
Lineage: Bacteria
Description: bacterial SSU rRNA
Rfam family: Bacterial small subunit ribosomal RNA
Source: RNAcentral